This 1059-nucleotide long non-coding RNA is filed under the name Nicotiana benthamiana. Its description in RNAcentral is "long non-coding RNA (NBEN_LNC029061)". The record is from RNAcentral. Lineage: Eukaryota; Viridiplantae; Streptophyta; Magnoliopsida; Solanales; Solanaceae.
CCAGGAUCUGCCGACCUUAAGAACCUCAAAAGGCACAAUCUCUUUCCUUUUCCUACUGGGUGCUUGAUAUAUUUCAGAUGCAGCGAAAACAGAGAGGGCAUAAACCUAGAGCUAGAGCCAGAAUCUACCAAAAUGAUGAAUACUGAGGAAUGAGAACCUGUUGAGUGUUGAAAACUUGAAUUCUUGCCAAGAGGCGUCGUCGAGGACGGAAAGGCGUCGCAGUCGUAGAAUCGAAGAAGUGAGGUGAGAAAUUCAGAACCCUAACAGGCUUAUUAGUAGUGGGUUUUUACUUUUUGUAUACUAGUUUUUAUUAUUUGAUUUUUACCUAAAUAUGCCAUAUAUCAAACCUUAUUACCAUAUUGUGACUUGUUUGGUUAUUACCCGCAUAUUCCAUGUUUUCGUUACCAAAAAUGUACCAAACCAUAUCUGGCUGAUUUUAUAGCCUAAAAUAGCGCCAGAUUUUUGAAUACUGAGGAAUCAAAUCACCGAAAAUAGAAUAAAAAUAUAGGCAAACGUGGAUCUGAAAAAAUCACCUUCAAAUCAUGUCAAAAAUUUGUAGAAACUAAGCUUAUUUGAACGACAAACGCAUAUAUUUCCAGCUCAAUACAACUUCACUGGAGACAAACACUUCGCCUAUAGAUUGUAUCUAUUCAUUAAAAGUCAAAAAAUCGAAUACUUUCUAAUUUUUUCACAGAUCUACACAUAAUAGAACCAAAAAAUCGAGCUGUCUAAUAGUAUUUACGGUGCUAAAAAAUAAAACAAACUACACGUAAAGCAAUUUUUUCCAAGACAAAAUAAUGUGUGAAAUCUCAACAACAUAAGCAAAACGUAAUUAAUCUACAGGAAAAAGAGAGAUAGAGAGAUCUUUACCUAAGGAGCUGUACGAAAGAGUAUUGGUUAGUUUGAAUAUGCCUUCUCUAGGAAUAUUAAUCUACAGGAAAAAGAGAGAUAGAGAGAUCUUUACCUAAGGAGCUGUACGAAAGAGUAUUGGUUAGUUUGAAUAUGCCUUCUCUUUAGUUCCUCACGAGCAUGGGAAAGCUCUCGAGGUGUAUCUAUGAU